Molecule: ribosomal RNA, 983 nt
Filed under: Micrococcus sp.
Lineage: Bacteria; Bacillati; Actinomycetota; Actinomycetes; Micrococcales; Micrococcaceae
Description: bacterial SSU rRNA
Rfam family: Bacterial small subunit ribosomal RNA
Source: RNAcentral
ACGGACGUACUGCAGACGAGCACCGCCUACUACGUGCAGCAGCGCGUAUAGUAGGGUGCGAGCCGUAAUCUGAAUUAUUGCCUCAAGAGCUCGUAGCAGUUUGUCGCGUCUGUCGUGAAAGUACGGGGCUUAACCCCCGGAUCUGCGGUGGGUACGGGCAGACUAGAGUGCAGUAGGGGAGACUAGAAUUCCUGUGUAGCGGUGGAAUGCGCAGAUAUCAGGAGGAACACCGAUGGCGAAGGCAGGUCUCUGGGCUGUAACUGACGCUGAGGAGCGAAAGCAUGGGGAGCGAACAGGAUUAGAUACCCUGGUAGUCCAUGCCGUAAACGUUGGGCACUAGGUGUGGGGACCAUUCCACCGUUUCCGCGCCGCAGCUAACGCAUUAAGUGCCCCGCCUGGGGAGUACGGCCGCAAGGCUAAAACUCAAAGGAAUUGACGGGGGCCCGCACAAGCGGCGGAGCAUGCGGAUUAAUUCGAUGCAACGCGAAGAACCUUACCAAGGCUUGACAUGUUCUCGAUCGCCGUAGAGAUACGGUUUCCCCUUUGGGGCGGGUUCACAGGUGGUGCAUGGUUGUCGUCAGCUCGUGUCGUGAGAUGUUGGGUUAAGUCCCGCAACGAGCGCAACCCUCGUUCCAUGUUGCCAGCACGUAAUGGUGGGGACUCAUGGGAGACUGCCGGGGUCAACUCGGAGGAAGGUGAGGACGACGUCAAAUCAUCAUGCCCCUUAUGUCUUGGGCUUCACGCAUGCUACAAUGGCCGGUACAAUGGGUUGCGAUACUGUGAGGUGGAGCUAAUCCCAAAAAGCCGGUCUCAGUUCGGAUUGGGGUCUGCAACUCGACCCCAUGAAGUCGGAGUCGCUAGUAAUCGCAGAUCAGCAACGCUGCGGUGAAUACGUUCCCGGGCCUUGUACACACCGCCCGUCAAGUCACGAAAGUUGGUAACACCCGAAGCCGGUGGCCUAACCCUUGUGGGGGGAGCCGUCG